This 520-nucleotide ribosomal RNA is filed under the name uncultured Glomus. RNAcentral's name for it is "SSU rRNA". It matches the Rfam family "Eukaryotic small subunit ribosomal RNA", at positions 569 to 1091 of the family's 1831-position model. Lineage: Eukaryota; Fungi; Glomeromycota; Glomeromycetes; Glomerales; Glomeraceae. The record is from RNAcentral.
AGCAGCCGCGGUAAUUCCAGCUCCAAUAGCGUAUAUUAAAGUUGUUGCAGUUAAAAAGCUCGUAGUUGAAUUUCGGGAUCAAUUUAUUGGUCGUGCUAUUGUACGUACUGGUAUUAUUGAUUCCUACCUUCUGACGAACCAUGAUGUCAUUAAUUUGGUGUCUUGGGGAAUCAGGACUGUUACUUUGAAAAAAUUAGAGUGUUUAAAGCAGGCUCACGCUUGAAUACAUUAGCAUGGAAUAACGAAAUAGGACGUUUGAUUCUAUUUUGUUGGUUUCUAGGAUCGACGUAAUGAUUAAUAGGGAUAGUUGGGGGCAUUAGUAUUCAAUUGUCAGAGGUGAAAUUCUUGGAUUUAUUGAAGACUAACUACUGCGAAAGCAUUUGCCAAGGAUGUUUUCAUUAAUCAAGAACGAAAGUUAGGGGAUCGAAGACGAUCAGAUACCGUAGUAGUUUUAACCAUAAACUAUGCCGACUAGGGAUCGGAUGAUGUUAAUUUUUUAAUGACUCAUUCGGCGCCUUAC